Molecule: ribosomal RNA, 468 nt
Filed under: uncultured bacterium
Lineage: Bacteria
Description: partial 16S ribosomal RNA
Rfam family: Bacterial small subunit ribosomal RNA
Source: RNAcentral
GACGAACGCUGGCGGCGUGCUUAACACAUGCAAGUCGAACGGAAAGGCCCUGCUUUUGUGGGGUGCUCGAGUGGCGAACGGGUGAGUAACACGUGAGUAACCUGCCCUUGACUUUGGGAUAACUUCAGGAAACUGGGGCUAAUACCGGAUAGGAGCUCCUGCUGCAUGGUGGGGGUUGGAAAGUUUCGGCGGUUGGGGAUGGACUAGCGGCUUAUCAGCUUGUUGGUGGGGUAGGGGCUUACCAAGGCUUUGACGGGUAGCCGGCCUGAGAGGGUGAACGGGCACAAUGGGACUGAGAUACGGCCCAGACUCCUACGGGAGGCAGCAGUGGGGAAUAUUGCACAAUGGGCGGAAGUCUGAUGCAGCAACGCCGCGUGCGGGAUGACGGCCUUCGGGUUGUAAACCGCUUUGGCAUGUGACGAAGCGUGAGUGACGGUAAUGGGUAAAGAAGCACCGGCUAACUACGUG